GUGGGAGCGAGCCCUGCUCGCGAUAGCGGUUUGUCAGUCAGCAUUUUUAUUUACUGAUGCACCGCUAUCGCGAGCAGGGCUCGCUCCCAC
RNAcentral lists this unclassified non-coding RNA (90 nucleotides) under Pseudomonas mediterranea. The record is from RNAcentral. Lineage: Bacteria; Pseudomonadati; Pseudomonadota; Gammaproteobacteria; Pseudomonadales; Pseudomonadaceae.